Long non-coding RNA from Alligator sinensis (Chinese alligator), 1141 nucleotides. RefSeq lists it as uncharacterized. The record is from RefSeq and is a predicted model, not a curated record. NCBI's taxonomy places the organism in Eukaryota, Metazoa, Chordata, Crocodylia, Alligatoridae. The transcript has 3 exons.
CACAGUGAUAAGAAACACCCAGGUAAGGAUAACCAGGAGAGCUGUCCUCACGGUGUCUUCAGGGAGAGUUUUCUUCUGAUGUCAAGUUGUUGUUUUGUCAUUGUUGUUUUGUUUUGUUUGUUUGUUUCCUAGGAGCAGUGAAGUGAAAUCUUGAUGGUGAAGCCCUGCCAUUUAUCCUGCCCAUGCUGUUUAUGGAUUCUCCCUGUAGGGAACUUGAAAAAAUCAAAAUGGAAGGUAUAGGAGCUUUUCAUGUAACAUGACUGUGCUUAGUUCACAAGAAAUCCGGAACUGGUAUGUUGUCAUGCUGACAUAACAGAUUUCUGAACAACUUCUGUACAGUACAUCUUGUCUCUCUGGACUUCAGCUAAGUAUUUGGUCAGGUGCCAUGUGGAAAAUUCUUAGUGAAGCUGGAGAAGAUAGGGAUUUGGAUGACUCUUAGGAGUGGAUGAGUUUCCUCCUACAGCACUCAAGGAAUUGGCUGGGUUGCCCCAGAAGCUGUCUUAGCUCAAAUAGCGUACAAUAUCUUCAAUAAUAUCUUGAAUGAUAGAGUGCAUGAACAGUGAAUUUACAGGUGACACCAAGCUUGGUGUCAUCACAGACAUUUUUGGAAGGUAGGAUUUGGAUUCAAAAUGAAAAUGUUGGAGGAAUAAUAAGAAAUAAAUUGGUGGAAAUUCAGGAAGAACAAGUGCAAAGUGCUGCAACUGAGAGAAAAAACAGAGGCCUAAACACAAACUGGGAAGUGACUAGUUAGACUGACAUACUGAGAAGAAGACUGGGGAUUACCCUGGACUGCAAGCUGAAUAUGAGUCAAUAGUAUAGUCUUGCUGCAAAUCCAGAAAGUAAUUCUUCCACUCCAUUCAGCUUUGGUGAAGCCUCACAGGAAGUAAUGAGUCUAGUUAUGGGCACUGGACUUCAAAAAAGUUAUGGACAAAUUGAAAUGAGUCUAGAGCAGUAUAACCAAAAUGAUUAGAGGUCUAAGAAACAGAUCCAGAAAGGUUGGAAAAUCUGCUGUUGGCACCUUGUUGCACGUUUAAUUUUAGGCGAGUCCUGGAGCUCUUAACCCUUGGGUUAUCUGCAUAUUACUACCUUUAAAUGGAUUAAAGCACUCAAUAUGUGGUUCAAAGUUAUACUAUUUCAGAUC